RNAcentral lists this ribosomal RNA (548 nucleotides) under Debaryomyces nepalensis. RNAcentral describes it as "eukaryotic LSU rRNA". It matches the Rfam family "Eukaryotic large subunit ribosomal RNA", at positions 65 to 629 of the family's 3401-position model. The record is from RNAcentral. Lineage: Eukaryota; Fungi; Ascomycota; Pichiomycetes; Serinales; Debaryomycetaceae.
CCAACAGGGAUUGCCUUAGUAACGGCGAGUGAAGCGGCAAAAGCUCAAAUUUGAAAUCUGGCGCCUUCGGUGUCCGAGUUGUAAUUUGAAGAAGGUAACUUUGGAGUUGGCUCUUGUCUAUGUUCCUUGGAACAGGACGUCACAGAGGGUGAGAAUCCCGUGCGAUGAGAUGCCCAAUUCUAUGUAAAGUGCUUUCGAAGAGUCGAGUUGUUUGGGAAUGCAGCUCUAAGUGGGUGGUAAAUUCCAUCUAAAGCUAAAUAUUGGCGAGAGACCGAUAGCGAACAAGUACAGUGAUGGAAAGAUGAAAAGAACUUUGAAAAGAGAGUGAAAAAGUACGUGAAAUUGUUGAAAGGGAAGGGCUUGAGAUCAGACUUGGUAUUUUGCGAUCCUUUCCUUCUUGGUUGGGUUCUCCGCAGCUUACUGGGCCAGCAUCGGUUUGGAUGGUAGGAUAAUGAUUAAGGAAUGUGGCUCUACUUCGGUGGAGUGUUAUAGCCUUGGUUGAUACUGCCUGUCUAGACCGAGGACUGCGUCUUUGACUAGGAUGCUGG